AGCAGCCGCGGUAAUUCCAGCUCCAAUAGCGUAUAUUAAAGUUGUUGCAGUUAAAAAGCUCGUAGUUGAAUUUCGGGAUCAUCAGGUCGGUCGUGCCUCCGGUAUGUACUGGUCUCGGUGGUUCCUCCUUCUUGUAGAACCGUAAUGCCAUUAAUUUGGUGUUGCGGGAAAACAGGACUGUUACUUUGAAAAAAUUAGGGUGUUUAAAGCAGGCGAUCGCUUGAAUACAUUAGCAUGGAAUAAUGAAAUAGGACGUUCGAUCCUAUUUUGUUGGUUUCUAGGAUUGACGUAAUGAUUAAUAGGGAUAGUUGGGGGCAUUAGUAUUCAAUUGUCAGAGGUGAAAUUCUUGGAUUUAUUGAAGACUAACUACUGCGAAAGCAUUUGCCAAGGAUGUUUUCAUUAAUCAAGAACGAAAGUUGGGGGAAUCGAAGACGAUCAGAUACCGUCGUAGUCUUAACCAUAAACUAUGCCGACUAGGGAUCGGAUGAUGUUAAUUUUUUAAUGACUCAUUCGGCGCCUU
This 520-nucleotide ribosomal RNA is filed under the name uncultured Glomus. RNAcentral's name for it is "SSU rRNA". It matches the Rfam family "Eukaryotic small subunit ribosomal RNA", at positions 569 to 1089 of the family's 1831-position model. The record is from RNAcentral. Lineage: Eukaryota; Fungi; Glomeromycota; Glomeromycetes; Glomerales; Glomeraceae.